GCUUUUUGCUUUGCAUUGUGUCUCUUAGCAGCACCUCCUUCCAGGAGGGGAUAACUGGGAACAGAUUUCUGAAAAUGGAAAAGCUGAAGAAUAAGCUGCUAAUGUAUUGGGUCUGGAUGCUUCCUAGGAGCCCCAGGGAAACUGUCCACAGAACAGAACAGGUCCAGGAGAAGUUGGAUACAUCAUUUUAUGUCCCAGGGAAUUCAAAAUUGUGCAGUGGUGCUGAUGUGGAUUCCUGAGGCUCUGGGACAGGACAACCAAUCACACAGGAGUCUGGAAUUCAUAUAUAUGGACAACAUUGAAAAAUCCCUGAUAAAAUGAGUUUUGUUAUAGCCUGAAGAUGCAGCUUAUCACAGGUAAGUAGAAUAUUGCAUUGAUCUCUGCUGUAGAUAAGGAGACUACCAAAG
This 407-nucleotide long non-coding RNA is filed under the name Parus major (Great Tit). Its description in RNAcentral is "lncRNA (ENSPMJG00000011388.1)". Lineage: Eukaryota; Metazoa; Chordata; Aves; Passeriformes; Paridae. The record is from RNAcentral.